Molecule: ribosomal RNA, 614 nt
Filed under: bacterium
Lineage: Bacteria
Description: bacterial SSU rRNA
Rfam family: Bacterial small subunit ribosomal RNA
Source: RNAcentral
UGCAGUCGAGCGGUAAGGCCCUUCGGGGUACACGAGCGGCGAACGGGUGAGUAACACGUGAGCAACCUGCCCCUGACUCUGGGAUAAGCGGUGGAAACGCCGUCUAAUACCGGAUACGACCUUCCACCUCAUGGUGGAGGGUGGAAAGUUUUUUCGGUCAGGGAUGGGCUCGCGGCCUAUCAGCUUGUUGGUGGGGUAACGGCCUACCAAGGCGAUUACGGGUAGCCGGCCUGAGAGGGCGACCGGCCACACUGGGACUGAGACACGGCCCAGACUCCUGCGGGAGGCAGCAGUGGGGAAUAUUGCGCAAUGGGCGAAAGCCUGACGCAGCGACGCCGCGUGGGGGAUGACGGCCUUCGGGUUGUAAACCUCUUUUACCACCAACGCAGGCUCCGGGUUCUCUCGGGGUUGACGGUAGGUGGGGAAUAAGGACCGGCUAACUACGUGCCAGCAGCCGCGGUAAUACGUAGGGUCCGAGCGUUGUCCGGAAUUAUUGGGCGUAAAGAGCUCGUAGGCGGCGUGUCGCGUCUGCUGUGAAAGACCGGGGCUUAACUCCGGUUCUGCAGUGGAUACGGGCAUGCUAGAGGUAGGUAGGGGAGACUGGAAUUCCUGGU